RNAcentral lists this ribosomal RNA (191 nucleotides) under uncultured bacterium. RNAcentral's name for it is "partial 16S ribosomal RNA". It matches the Rfam family "Bacterial small subunit ribosomal RNA", at positions 1309 to 1500 of the family's 1533-position model. The record is from RNAcentral.
AACUCGCCUGCAUGAAGUCGGAAUUGCUAGUAAUCGCGGAUCAGCAUGCCGCGGUGAAUACGUUCCCGGCCUUGUACACACCGCCCGUCACACCAUGGGAGUCGGUAACACCCGAAGUCUGUAGCCCAACCGCAAGGAGGACGCUGUCGAAGGUGGGAUUGAUAACUGGGGUGAAGUCGUAACAAGGUACC